Molecule: ribosomal RNA, 642 nt
Filed under: Triticum aestivum (bread wheat)
Lineage: Eukaryota; Viridiplantae; Streptophyta; Magnoliopsida; Poales; Poaceae
Description: partial small subunit ribosomal RNA
Source: RNAcentral
AUGGCGUCCAGCGCUUCCCGGUUCAUCAAGUGCGUCACGGUGGGCGACGGCGCCGUCGGCAAGACCUGCAUGCUCAUCUGCUACACCAGCAACAAGUUCCCCACCGACUACAUACCCACGGUGUUCGACAAUUUCAGCUCAAACGUGGUGGCGGACGGCACCACCGUGAAUUUGGGCCUUUGGGACACCGCCGGGCAGGAGGAUUACAACCGGCUGAGGCCUCUGAGCUACCGCGGCGCUGAUGUUUUUGUGCUUGCCUUCUCUCUCGUGAGCCGAGCUAGCUAUGAGAAUAUCAUGAAGAAGUGGAUACCGGAGCUUCAGCAUUACGCGCCCGGCGUGCCGGUUGUGCUGGUAGGCACAAAACUGGAUCUUCGUGAAGACAAGCACUAUUUGCUGGACCACCCUGGCAUGAUACCCGUUACCACAGCACAGGGGGAGGAACUUCGUAAGCAAGUUGGUGCUUUAUAUUACAUAGAGUGCAGCUCAAAGACACAACAGAAUGUCAAAGCUGUGUUUGAUGCUGCUAUCAAGGUAGUAAUCCAGCCCCCAACUAAACAAAGAGAAAAGAAGAAAAAGAAACAGCGCCGGGGAUGUUCUAUGAUGAACUUCGGUGGAAGGAAAAUGCUAUGCUUCAAAUCCUGA